RNAcentral lists this transfer RNA (88 nucleotides) under Rhodospirillaceae bacterium. Its description in RNAcentral is "tRNA-Ser". It matches the Rfam family "tRNA". Rfam says of the family: Transfer RNA (tRNA) molecules are approximately 80 nucleotides in length. Their secondary structure includes four short double-helical elements and three loops (D, anti-codon, and T loops). The record is from RNAcentral. RNAcentral also lists the same sequence under 1 other name. Lineage: Bacteria; Pseudomonadati; Pseudomonadota; Alphaproteobacteria; Rhodospirillales; Rhodospirillaceae.
GGAGGGGUGGCCGAGCGGUUUAUGGCGCACGCCUGGAAAGCGUGUUGGGUGCAAGCCCUCGCGGGUUCAAAUCCCGCUCCCUCCGCCA